AUAGGCUAUGUGUGGUAGAGCGUCAGUCUUGUAAACUGAAGGUCCGUAGUUCGAUCCUGCGU
This is a non-coding RNA of Picea glauca (white spruce), 62 nucleotides long. Lineage: Eukaryota; Viridiplantae; Streptophyta; Pinopsida; Pinales; Pinaceae. The record is from Rfam.